CCAAUAGCGUAUAUUAAAGUUGUUGCAGUUAAAAAGCUCGUAGUUGAAUUUCGGGGUCAAUAAGUUGGUCAUGCCAAUGGUAUGCACUGGCUUUAUUGAUUCCUACCUCUUGACGAACUGUGAUGCCAUUAAUUUGGUGUUGCAAGGAAUCAGGACUGUUACCUUAAAAAAAUUAGAGUGUUUAAAGCAAGCUUACGCUUGAAUACAUUAGCAUGGAAUAAUGAAAUAGGACGUUUGAUCCUAUUUUGUUGGUUUCUAGGAUCGACGUAAUGAUUAAUAGGGAUAGUUGGGGGCAUUAGUAUUCAAUUGUCAGAGGUGAAAUUCUUGGAUUUAUUGAAGACUAACUACUGCGAAAGCAUUUGCCAAGGAUGUUUUCAUUAAUCAAGAACGAAAGUUAGGGGAUCGAAGACGAUCAGAUACCGUCGUAGUCUUAACCAUAAACUAUGCCGACUAGGGAUCGGAUGAUGUUAAUUUUUUAAUGACUCAUUCGGCGCCUUACG
This 500-nucleotide ribosomal RNA is filed under the name uncultured Glomeromycotina. RNAcentral's name for it is "partial small subunit ribosomal RNA". It matches the Rfam family "Eukaryotic small subunit ribosomal RNA", at positions 591 to 1092 of the family's 1831-position model. Lineage: Eukaryota; Fungi; Glomeromycota. The record is from RNAcentral.